CUGCAACCUGAGAACACCCAGCAAGAGAAUCCUCAAGGAUGGAAAUCUGGAGGGAGAUAGCACGAGGAAAUGAGGAAAGCAGAAAGGGAAAAUGAAAGAAAGGCAAAGAACACUCCUCUGUGUGGAAGAAGGAGGAAGGGGAAGAAAGAGGAAGAAAACCUGGGAAAGGGCACAAGGCUGAAUAAUGCACUGGGGAAAAAAAAAACCACAGCAGCUGGAUUUGCUAGUAACAUAAAUUAGUACAGACAAGCCCCAUGUGACGAUGCACCAGCCUCCGUGCAAGGAUGGACACACUACUUUUUGGAGGUGCAAACAAUUGAACUGAGGUGUUCAACUACAGAGAAGAGAAGCCAUCAGCAUGCAAGUAGCCCUCUUCACCAGGUGCAGGCAGCCAAGAAAAUUCC
Molecule: long non-coding RNA, 404 nt
Filed under: Ficedula albicollis (Collared flycatcher)
Lineage: Eukaryota; Metazoa; Chordata; Aves; Passeriformes; Muscicapidae
Description: lncRNA (ENSFALG00000028886.1)
Source: RNAcentral